Molecule: ribosomal RNA, 435 nt
Filed under: uncultured Alphaproteobacteria bacterium
Lineage: Bacteria; Pseudomonadati; Pseudomonadota; Alphaproteobacteria
Description: bacterial SSU rRNA
Rfam family: Bacterial small subunit ribosomal RNA
Source: RNAcentral
UGGACAAUGGCGCAAGCCUGAUCCAGCCAUGCCGCGUGUGUGAUGAAGGCCUUAGGGUCGUAAAGCACUUUCGCCAGAGAUGAUAAUGACAGUAUCUGGUAAAGAAACCCCGGCUAACUCCGUGCCAGCAGCCGCGGUAAUACGGAGGGGGUUAGCGUUGUUCGGAAUUACUGGGCGUAAAGCGCACGUAGGCGGAUUAGUCAGUCAGAGGUGAAAUCCCAGGGCUCAACCCUGGAACUGCCUUUGAUACUGCUAGUCUUGAGUUCGAGAGAGGUGAGUGGAAUUCCGAGUGUAGAGGUGAAAUUCGUAGAUAUUCGGAGGAACACCAGUGGCGAAGGCGGCUCACUGGCUCGAUACUGACGCUGAGGUGCGAAAGUGUGGGGAGCAAACAGGAUUAGAUACCCUGGUAGUCCACACCGUAAACGAUGAAUGCCA